This 492-nucleotide ribosomal RNA is filed under the name Pseudoalteromonas sp. 1218. RNAcentral describes it as "bacterial SSU rRNA". It matches the Rfam family "Bacterial small subunit ribosomal RNA", at positions 15 to 500 of the family's 1533-position model. The record is from RNAcentral. Lineage: Bacteria; Pseudomonadati; Pseudomonadota; Gammaproteobacteria; Alteromonadales; Pseudoalteromonadaceae.
GAUCCUGGCUCAGAUUGAACGCUGGCGGCAGGCCUAACACAUGCAAGUCGAGCGGUAACAGAAAGUAGCUUGCUACUUUGCUGACGAGCGGCGGACGGGUGAGUAAUGCUUGGGAACAUGCCUUGAGGUGGGGGACAACAGUUGGAAACGACUGCUAAUACCGCAUAAUGUCUACGGACCAAAGGGGGCUUCGGCUCUCGCCUUUAGAUUGGCCCAAGUGGGAUUAGCUAGUUGGUGAGGUAAUGGCUCACCAAGGCAACGAUCCCUAGCUGGUUUGAGAGGAUGAUCAGCCACACUGGAACUGAGACACGGUCCAGACUCCUACGGGAGGCAGCAGUGGGGAAUAUUGCACAAUGGGCGAAAGCCUGAUGCAGCCAUGCCGCGUGUGUGAAGAAGGCCUUCGGGUUGUAAAGCACUUUCAGUCAGGAGGAAAGGUGUGUGAGUUAAUACCUCACAUCUGUGACGUUACUGAACAGAAGAAGCACCGGCUAA